GAAAAAUUCACACAUUCAUUGCUACCAUAUACUGCUGCUAUCCAAGAAAAAAAAACGUUAAAUGUUUUAUUUUUCAAAACAAACAAAAAUUCCAUUCCGAAUAACAUCAUCAUUUUUCUUCUGAGCCGGAAUCGAAAACACUGAUUAUUCUGAAUUAUUUCUUGGUAUCAUGUACAUAUUGGGUUUCUUUUCAACGACAAUCAUUUUAUUCAUUCUAUUCUUAUUCAUCAUGUGGUUACGUGAACGUUUUUGUCUUAAACGUCGACAACAACAACAACAACAACAACAAUUACGAAGACAAUCAACAAUAAUGAAUCAUAAACAAAGACAAUCAAGUCUUAUUGUACCGGAUAGGAUUGUAAUUAAAUCAUCAUUAUCAUCAUCAUCACAAAUGAAUCGACUACCGCCGGCACCAUUACCGCCAUUAGAAAGAAAAAUGCGUAUCGUUUCCAUGCCAAAUUCUUAGCAUUGCAUGUAAUUAAUUAAUUAAUCCCAGAAUGUCACCAAAUUGCUGCCUUUUUGUAAUAAUAAAUA
Non-coding RNA from Dermatophagoides farinae (American house dust mite), 534 nucleotides. The record is from RefSeq and is a predicted model, not a curated record. Lineage: Eukaryota; Metazoa; Arthropoda; Arachnida; Sarcoptiformes; Pyroglyphidae.